GCUGGGCGUGGUGGCGCGUGCCUGUAAUCCCAGCUACUUGGGAGGCUGAGGUAGGAGAAUCACUUGAACUCAGGAGGCAGAGGUUGCAGUGAGCCGAGGUCGUGCCACUGCACUCCAGCCUGGGCAACAGAGUGAGGCUCUAUCUCAA
This is an unclassified non-coding RNA of Papio anubis (olive baboon), 148 nucleotides long. It matches the Rfam family "Metazoan signal recognition particle RNA". From Rfam's summary of the family: The signal recognition particle (SRP) is a universally conserved ribonucleoprotein. Lineage: Eukaryota; Metazoa; Chordata; Mammalia; Primates; Cercopithecidae. The record is from Ensembl.